UAGGGAAUCUUCCGCAAUGGGCGAAAGCCUGAUGGAGCAACGCCGCGUGUGUGAUGAAGGGUUUCGGCUCGUAAAACACUGUUGUAAGAGAAGAAUGACAUUGAGAGUAACUGUUCAAUGUGUGACGGUAUCUUACCAGAAAGGAACGGCUAAAUACGUGCCCG
Molecule: ribosomal RNA, 164 nt
Filed under: uncultured bacterium
Lineage: Bacteria
Description: partial 16S rRNA
Rfam family: Bacterial small subunit ribosomal RNA
Source: RNAcentral